ACACAGGGGUUAGGCGGUUUACUAGGGCUUCGUCGCCGCCGGCGAAGAUCGAGAGAGCCGCCAGGCGGGCGCCGCGGUCGCCUCCGGAGACGGGGGCGUCGAUGGAGGAGCAGCCGGCGGCGGUGGCAGCGGAGUGGAUCUCGACGGCGAGGGAGGGGUCGGAGGUGGUCAUGUCGACUAUGGCGGCGCCGGGGUGGAGGCCGGAGAGGGCGCCAGAGGCGGGGUCGAGGAUGACGUGGCGGACGUCGGAGGGGUAGCCGACGAUGGAGAAGACGACGUCGGAUUGGGAGGCGAGGGAUUUGGGGGAGUCGGCCCAGUGGGCCCCCAUGGAGAGGAGGGAUUGGGCCUUGGAUUGGG
This 357-nucleotide long non-coding RNA is filed under the name Salvia miltiorrhiza (redroot sage). RNAcentral describes it as "long non-coding RNA (SMIL_LNC004766)". The record is from RNAcentral. Lineage: Eukaryota; Viridiplantae; Streptophyta; Magnoliopsida; Lamiales; Lamiaceae.